Molecule: ribosomal RNA, 542 nt
Filed under: uncultured bacterium
Lineage: Bacteria
Description: partial 16S ribosomal RNA
Rfam family: Bacterial small subunit ribosomal RNA
Source: RNAcentral
UGGGGAAUAUCGGACAAUGGGGGCAACCCUGAUCCAGCCAUGCCGCGUGUGUGAAGAAGGCCUUUUGGUUGUAAAGCACUUUAAGCAGGGAGGAGAGGCUAAUGGUUAAUACCCAUUAGAUUAGACGUUACCUGCAGAAUAAGCACCGGCUAACUCUGUGCCAGCAGCCGCGGUAAUACAGAGGGUGCGAGCGUUAAUCGGAAUUACUGGGCGUAAAGCGAGUGUAGGUGGCUCAUUAAAGUCACAUGUGAAAUCCCCGGGCUUAACCUGGGAACUGCAUGUGAUACUGGUGGUGCUAGAAUAUGUGAGAGGGAAGUAGAAUUCCAGGUGUAGCGGUGAAAUGCGUAGAGAUCUGGAGGAAUACCGAUGGCGAGGCAGCUUCCUGGCAUAAUAUUGACACUGAGAUUCGAAAGCGUGGGUAGCAAAACAGGAUUAGAUACCCUGGUAGUCCACGCCGUAAACGAUGUCUACUAGCCGUUGGGGUCCUUGAGACUUUAGUGGCGCAGUUAACGCGAUAAGUNGACCGCCUGGGGAGUACGGCC